RNAcentral lists this long non-coding RNA (4144 nucleotides) under Zea mays. Its description in RNAcentral is "drought responsive lncRNA". The record is from RNAcentral. Lineage: Eukaryota; Viridiplantae; Streptophyta; Magnoliopsida; Poales; Poaceae.
GUUAGAACUAAAUUCAAGUUCGGGAGAGAGGGAGAAAACAAAUCAAAUGAGAAUCAAGCGAAUGAACACGGUGAUUUAUUUUACCGAGGUUCGGUUCCAAAGAACCUAGUCCCUGUUGAGGAGGUCACAAAGACCGGGUCUAUUUCAACCCUUUCCCUCUCUCAAAUGGUCACUUAGACCGAGUGAGCCUUCUCCUUAAUCAAUCGGGUCACUAAGACCCCGCAAGGACCACCACACACUUAGGUGUCUCUUGCUUUGAUUACAAGUCACUUGAGAACAUGAAUGAGAAAGAAGAAAGGCAAUCCAAGAGAUAAGAGCGCAAAAGAACACGAACACACUCUCUCACAAGUCACUAAAUGUUUGAGUUGGAUUCUAGGCUUGGAGAGGGUUUGAUCUUUGGAAAUGUGUCUUGGAGUGAAUGCACUAGCUCAUGUAUUGAAUGUGAUCUCUGAAAAACUUGGAUGCCAAAGGUUGUGGUGGUUGGGGGGUAUUUAUAGCCCCCAACCACCUUGGUAGCCGUUGGCCAAGGCUGCUGGCGAUGGGCGCACCAGACAGGUACUGUGCGCUGUCCGGUGCGCCGCCAUGUCAGCUAUCCGUUAGGGUUCUGGAGCAGGUGACCGUUGGCGCCUUUGUCCUCUUGCGACACCGGACAGUCUGGUGGCACACUGGACAGUCCGGUGCCCCGCUGACUCGCUGCUCUGACUUCUGCGUUGCACUGUUCAUCUGUAAGAGUCGACCGUUGCGCAGAUAGCCAUUGCUCCGGUGGCACACUAGACAGUCCGGUGAAUUAUGAGCGCACCCUUGAAUUCCCGAGAGUGGCUCCUUCGGAGUUGUACGGGCAUGGUGCACCGGACACUGUUCGGUGGCACACCGGACAGUCCGGUGCCCCAACUUAUAGCACACUCAAGUUCUUUGCUCCAUUUUGAAUUGAGUCCCCUAACUAGAUUUUCAUUGUUAGUUUUGUUGAACCUUAUUCACCUGUAAUACAUUAAUUCUAGACAAACUAGUUAGUCCAUGUGUUUGUGUUGACUAUCAUCCACCAAAAUUAAUUAUAGCAAAUGGUUAAUCCUAUUUCCCUUUCAAUCUCCCCCUUUUUGGUGAUUGAUGCCAACACAAACCAAAGCAAGUAUAAAGUGCAGAAAUGUAACUAGUUUGCAUUUAGAAUGUGCAUAGGUUACUUGGAGUUAAACCAAUUGUAAAUCUCACUAAAUAUGAAUGGAUUGCUUUUUCCUUUUAUUUAAUAUUUUGGACCACAUUUGCAUCACUUGUUUUGUUUUUGCAAAUCUUUUUGGAACAUCUUUUCAAAGUCUUUUGCAAAUAGUCAAAGGUAUAGAAAUGUUAUUGCAAGAAGCAUUUUUAAGAUUUAGAAUUUCUCCCCUAUUUCAAAUGUUUUUCCUUUGACUAAAUAAAACACCCCCUGAAUGAAAUUCUCCUCUUAGCUUUCAAGAGGGUUUUGAAAUAGAUACCAAUUGAUACAAUAUACUAAUUUGAGAAUACAUCAAUUGAAACAAAUACCAAUUAAAACUUUAUUUCGAAAGUUUUUUUGAAAUGGUGGUGCGGUCAUUUUGCUUUGGGCUUAAUACUCUCUCACACUUUGGCAUUAGUUGCAAAAAACGGAGACUGUGAGAGCCCUCUUUGCACUUUUCUCCCCCUUUGGCGCUAAUACCUUCUCCCAAAUGGUGAAAUAAAUAUGAGUGAAGAUAAUACCAUUGAGAGUUUGUGGAGUAGCGGCAAGGGUUAAGUGAUACUGUCAGAGUUUGGAGUGGAAGCCUUGUCUUUGCCGAAUAUUCCAUUUUCCUUUCAAUCUAAUACUAAGGAUAGAAGUAUACUUGAAAACACAUUAGUAUUAAUCUUGGCACAAGGAUGAUAAGUAAUAUGCAUUUGUACCAUAUGAUCAAAGGUAUAUAAAUAAGCUAUAUGUGCAAUGUUUCAUUCAAAAUUCCGAGAAUCAAGUAUAUUUAGUUCAUUCUUAAGUUUGCUAAAGGUUUUCUCAUCUAAUGGCUUGGUAAAGAUAUCGGCUAAUUGAUUCUUGCUGUUUACAUAAGCUAUUUCGAUAUCCCCCUUUGUUGGUGAUCUCUCAGAAAGUGAUACCGAAUAUCUAUGUGCUUAGGGCGGCUGUGUUCAACGGGAUUAUCUGCCAUGCGGAUUGCACUCUCAUUAUCACAUAGGAGGGGGACUUUGCUCAAUUUGUAGCCAUAGUCCCUAAGGGUUUGUCUCAUCCAAAGUAAUUCCGCACAACAAUGGCCUGCGACAAUGUACUCGGCUUCGACGGUAGAAAGAGCUAUGGAGUUUUGUUUCACUAAAGCCCAUGACACCAGGGAUCUUCCCAGAAACUGACAAGUCCCUGAUGUGCUCUUUCUAUCAAUUUUACACCCUGCCCAAUCGGCAUCGGAAUAUCUUAUUAAAUCAAAAGUGGACCCCUUGGGGUACCAAAGCCCAAACUUAGGAGUGUAAACUAAGUAUCUCAUGAUUCUCUUCACGGCCCUAAGGUGAACUUCCUUAGGAUUUGCCUGAAAUCUUGCACACAUGCAUACAGAAAGCAUAAUGUCUGGUCGAGAUGCACAUAAAUAGAGUAAAGAUCCUAUCAUCGACCGAUAUACCUUUUGAUCUACAGAUUUACCUCCCGUGUCGAGGUCGAGAUGCCCAUUUGUUCCCAUGGGUGUCUUGAUGGGUUUGCCAUCCUUCAUUCCAAAUUUCUUAAGUAUGUCUUGAAUGUACUUUGUUUGGCUGAUGAAGGUGCCAUCUUGGAGUUGCUUGAUUUGGAAUCCUAGGAAAUACUUCAACUCUCCCAUCAUAGACAUCUCGAAUUUUUGAAUCAUGAUCUUACUAAACUCUUCACACGUUGACUUGUUAGUAGACCCAAAUAUAAUAUCAUCAAUAUAAAUUUGGCAUACAAACAAAUCUUUUGCAACAGUUUUAGUAAAGAGUGUAGGAUCGGCUUUUCUGACUUCGAAGCCAUUAGCGAUAAGGAAGUCUCGCAGGCAUUCAUACCAUGCUCUUGGGUCUUGCUUGAGCCCAUAAAGCGCCUUUGAGAGUUUAUACACAUGGUUAGGGUACUCAUUAUCUUCAAAGCCAGGAGGUUGCUCAACAUAGACCUCUUCCUUGAUGGGUGCAUUGAGGAAGACACUUUUCACAUCCAUUUGGUAAAGCUUAAAGCCAUGGUAAGUAGCAUAGGCAAGUAAUAUACGAAUUGACUCAAGCCUAGCUACGAGUGCAUAAGUUUCAUCAAAAUCCAAACCUUCGACUUGUGAAUACCUUUUGGCCACAAGUCGGGCUUUGUUUCACCACACCAUGCUCGUCUUGCUUGUUGCGGAAUACCCAUUUGGUACCUACAACAUUUUGAUUACGACGUGGAACUAAAUGCCAUACCUCAUUUCUCGUGAAGUUGUUGAGCUCCUCUUGCAUAGCCAGCACCCAAUCCGGAUCUCUUAAUGCAUCCUCCACCCUGUAAGGUUCAAUAGAGGACACAAAAGAUAAAUGCUCACAGAAAUUUGCAACUCGAGAUCUAGUGGUUACCCCCUUAUGAAUGUCACCAAGAAUGGAGUUGACGGGGUGUUCUCUUUGAAUUGCUUGGUGGACUCUUGGGUGUGGCGGUCUUUGAUCUCUAAUGUCACACCCGGCUUUAAGGAACAAAGCCAGGUGCAUCUCAUACAUGCGCCAAGAAGACAACAUAUAUAAUAACAGAGUGUAUAGAGAUAAAUGUCAUAAAACAUCAGAGUAUUUAUUACAUAGCGGAAGACUUAUUACAAAAUAAAAGAAUAAACAUAAAACGAACUAAGGAUCGUCGGCGCCAAUGUCAACUGAGAAACGCCACCUAGAUCAGAUCAUACUCCUCGCCUUGUGGCUCCUCCUGAACCACCUGCUCUUCUCCUGUGGGGGGGGGGUGUGAGACAGCAAGGGUGAGCUCACAUACGUUCAUCGCUCAACAAGUUGUGGGGAAUAAUGUGACAUGAACUCACCAAAGGUGGGAGCUCAUGGAGUGUAAGGCUUAUCAAAGGGAAUGGUUAAAGCUGAGCAUUGCUUUUAAUGUUGGUCAAACUUUUAUUAGCAUUUACUAGAUGUAAGUAAAUACCAAACCUUAAUAAAUAAUAGAACAAAAUUAAUAAUAAACCCAUGCAUAUGCAAAUGACAAAUUGAGUUUAGG